RNAcentral lists this unclassified non-coding RNA (223 nucleotides) under Hevea brasiliensis (rubber tree). The record is from RNAcentral. Lineage: Eukaryota; Viridiplantae; Streptophyta; Magnoliopsida; Malpighiales; Euphorbiaceae.
GAUGAUGGAACCAGCAUGGGAAAAGUUUACGAGCUUGGUGGACCUGAAAUCUUUACUGUUGAUGAAUUGGCAGAUCUUAUGUUCGACACAAUUCGUGAAUGGCCUCGCUAUGUCAAAGUUCCCCUUCCCAUUGCGAAGCUGCUAGCAACACCACGAGAAGUAUUACUUAACAAGGUUCCAUUUCCAUUGCCCACACCUAACAUAUUCAAUUUGGAUGAGAUCA